Molecule: RNA transcript, 1173 nt
Organism: Conger conger (European conger)
Lineage: Eukaryota; Metazoa; Chordata; Actinopteri; Anguilliformes; Congridae
Gene: arpc5la
Gene name: actin related protein 2/3 complex, subunit 5-like, a
Exons: 5
Source: RefSeq, a predicted model, not a curated record
GCGGAGAGUUAUGUGACAGAAGGGAGAAUGUGUAUGAGAGCGGAGAUCCAGAGAGCAGCCGUCACACUCGAGUGACAGUGGGAGUGUAGGUAACUGUUAACGUUACACGAGUCAAACUGUUUAUGUUAUGUUAUCGAGGUGACACGCCAACGAGGCGGUCUGUAUUGCAGUUUAUUGCAGUACAGAAUUUUACCCUACCCAGAACAGUGCAGGAGUGGACUAGUUCGUGUUUGCCGGUCAAAUAGCCUGCGAUUUCUCUUCCCUAAGUGGCCCCCAUGGCGAAAAACACACUCUCGUCGCGGUUUCGGAGGGUUGACAUCGAUGAGUACGACGAGAACAAAUUUGUGGACGAGCAGGAGGAGGCGGCUGAGCAACAGGGACCGGACGCCGCCGAGGUAGACAAUCUUAUCAGGCAAGGAGACAUGAUGACAGCUUUCCACAUUGCACUGAGGAACCCUCCAAUCAACACUAAGAACCCGGCAAUCAAGGAGCGAGCCCAGGCAAUAGUGCUGAGGGUGCUCACCUCCUUCAGGGGCGCGGAGAUCGAGACGGCAGUUAAAUCCCUGGACAGGAACGGGGUGGACCUGUUAAUGAAGUACAUCUACAGGGGCUUCGAGAAGCCUUCAGAGAACAGCAGCGCCAUCCUGCUCCAGUGGCACGAAAAGGCUUUCGCUGCAGGAGGCUUGGGAUCCAUUGUGCGAGUUCUCACCGCCAGAAAGACCGUCUGACAGACCGGGAGGACCGAGAGGACAGAGGACUGAUGGGAAGGCCCAGGGACAUAUCACUACAGUUACUGCUUUCUCCCAGGACACAAUCAAAAUCGAAUCAAAAAUUAAGGAGGAAAAUGGAAAUGACGGACUGACUGUGAAGAUACAAUAAAGAGAAUAAUGAAUUCAGAUGGAGAGGCUGUGUGGAAAAAGCAGUUGCUCAUGUGCCAUGGCCAGCGGUGCUAGAUUGGGGAACGUACUACUGCAAGUACAACGUGAUGCCCUAAUGAGUUUUAUUUAGCUGGCUUAGUAUUGGAAGAUUUAGAUUGUAUUUUUUUCCCUCGUUGUCAUUUUUGUACAGAGAGAAGCAUACAUUUAAUAUAAAGCAAUGGAAAUUAUUUGAAUUCUUUGUUUGGGGGGGGUUGUCAUUGUAAAGUGCCUGCUGCAAUAAACCUCAUGGAUCAUC